Molecule: long non-coding RNA, 1507 nt
Filed under: Cottoperca gobio
Lineage: Eukaryota; Metazoa; Chordata; Actinopteri; Perciformes; Bovichtidae
Description: lncRNA (ENSCGOG00000010050.1)
Source: RNAcentral
GAAACACAACACACUUUAUUAAACUCAGCUUCAGCCUUUACAGGCAAACUCAAUGCAGAAAACGUUCUCUAAUGUCAAGCUGUCCAAAAACUGUGCAGCUGCUCAGACGUCUUCGCUCCAGGUCCCAGCCGACCGCAAGAGAUCCAAAACCAGGCGGCGCCGUGAUCACACCCCACUGCUACAUACCCCGCUGCCCGACUCAGGCCGGGGAUCCACCGGCCGCAAGCCGAAAGCUCCAAACAACCCGAAUGGAAGUCACAAAUUGGUACAAUCCGUACGGAGCUCAGAAGGCCUUUUUCUCCUUGGACUCUGGAGACAGGGGAAUCUGCCAGUAGCCCUUGGUUGAAUCCAGUGUUGUGUAAAAACGAGCUGUGCCUAGACGACUACAGUCUUAAGAGUCCACAACUAGGUUUUAUAUCUGGUUUCUUGGCAUCUUUUGCUUCAAUCUUGUUUGUUGUCACUUCUACCUGAUGUGAAGAGCUUGACUGCUCUCCACUCUAAGAUCAGGCUCUUGGUUCGAUGUAAUGGCAUUUAUAUUCAGGGAUAUCAAGGUACACCUCACUCUGUUCUUUGCUGAACUCAAGUGACAAAUUAUAAAAGUUAUUUUUGUCAAUGACAUAUUUUAUAUCCACAGAUUUAUUAACUUUGCUCUGUUCAGUUUGGUCUGAAAGCAGUGUACUGUGCUCUUCAUCUUUUGUCUGAGAAGAUAUUCUGAGCAAAUUUAACAAACUUCCUAGCUUCAUUUGGAUAAGCGUCCGGCCUCUUAGAUUUUGGAUUAUAGUUUGUUUUUGUGAAGGAUGGAAUUUGCAACUCCACUGCAUAUUAGCUCAUGUAAAUUUGGAAUUUAGACAGUAAAUGGUAUCUGACGGUUAACCAAUCAUAAUGCAAAACCAGCUGACAGACUGAUAAGAAGUUCGUAAAGCUGGAGGUCACAAGUUGUAGGCUAUUUCUUAUUAGAACAGGGGCUGUGUGCUAGCUUGUCAAAUCCAGUUGUGAUGAGAAAACAUGUAGUGCAACAUUCUCUCAUGGACUCUCACCCCUAUUGUGUUUACGUUUCCAGAACCCCUGAGGACAUUAUUUAGAAUGACCAUUUGCACACAUAUGAAACCAAAUUCACUCGCAUACAGAGUGAAACGCUCUCAUAUUCACGUGUUAGCUGAAAUGGUGACGCACAGUAGGUCUGUCGAUAGCUCAGAAAAUGUGUUUGUACCAACAGCCGAGAGCUAUCUUUUCCUAUUUGUUUGCCCAUGAUAGAAAUGUGAAUUUCCUCAAACUGCCUAACGUUUAUGACACUUACAAUAAGAUGUAAGCUUAGUCAGUUAAGAUGAAAACCUCUGUCAGCGUUAACAAUAAAUUAACCUUAUAAGGCUCAUAAAAGUAAUAUUCAUUACAAGAUCGGAUUGGAUUGCAUAAUGUGUAGCCUACUUUGAAUACCCAGAGUAGGUUUGAUGUCAAUGUACCCUUUAUAUGUUUUUAAAAUUCUGUUUUCGGCACAAGGUUAUUUUGU